UGGCGGCGUGCCUAAUACAUGCAAGUCGAACGAGUUCUCGUUGAUGAUCGGUGCUUGCACCGAGAUUCAACAUGGAACGAGUGGCGGACGGGUGAGUAACACGUGGGUAACCUGCCCUUAAGUGGGGGAUAACAUUUGGAAACAGAUGCUAAUACCGCAUAGAUCCAAGAACCGCAUGGUUCUUGGCUGAAAGAUGGCGUAAGCUAUCGCUUUUGGAUGGACCCGCGGCGUAUUAGCUAGUUGGUGAGGUAAUGGCUCACCAAGGCGAUGAUACGUAGCCGAACUGAGAGGUUGAUCGGCCACAUUGGGACUGAGACACGGCCCAAACUCCUACGGGAGGCAGCAGUAGGGAAUCUUCCACAAUGGACGCAAGUCUGAUGGAGCAACGCCGCGUGAGUGAAGAAGGCUUUCGGGUCGUAAAACUCUGUUGUUGGAGAAGAAUGGUCGGCAGAGUAACUGUUGUCGGCGUGACGGUAUCCAACCAGAAAGCCACGGCUAACUACGUGCCAGCAGCCGCGGUAAUACGUAGGUGGCAAGCGUUAUCCGGAUUUAUUGGGCGUAAAGCGAGCGCAGGCGGUUUUUUAAGUCUGAUGUGAAAGCCCUCGGCUUAACCGAGGAAGCGCAUCGGAAACUGGGAAACUUGAGUGCAGAAGAGGACAGUGGAACUCCAUGUGUAGCGGUGAAAUGCGUAGAUAUAUGGAAGAACACCAGUGGCGAAGGCGGCUGUCUGGUCUGUAACUGACGCUGAGGCUCGAAAGCAUGGGUAGCGAACAGGAUUAGAUACCCUGGUAGUCCAUGCCGUAAACGAUGAAUGCUAGGUGUUGGAGGGUUUCCGCCCUUCAGUGCCGCAGCUAACGCAUUAAGCAUUCCGCCUGGGGAGUACGACCGCAAGGUUGAAACUCAAAGGAAUUGACGGGGGCCCGCACAAGCGGUGGAGCAUGUGGUUUAAUUCGAAGCAACGCGAAGAACCUUACCAGGUCUUGACAUCUUUUGAUCACCUGAGAGAUCAGGUUUCCCCUUCGGGGGCAAAAUGACAGGUGGUGCAUGGUUGUCGUCAGCUCGUGUCGUGAGAUGUUGGGUUAAGUCCCGCAACGAGCGCAACCCUUAUGACUAGUUGCCAGCAUUUAGUUGGGCACU
This 1137-nucleotide ribosomal RNA is filed under the name Lacticaseibacillus casei. RNAcentral's name for it is "bacterial SSU rRNA". It matches the Rfam family "Bacterial small subunit ribosomal RNA", at positions 37 to 1139 of the family's 1533-position model. Lineage: Bacteria; Bacillati; Bacillota; Bacilli; Lactobacillales; Lactobacillaceae. The record is from RNAcentral.